UUCUAUCCAUGGUAUUUACCUUGUACAAUGGGGUGUCUGUGUCUAAAAUACCUGAGAGGAAUGAGCAGAAUUCAAACCAAGCUCAGAAGCUGUGUGGGAAAGCAGAGCCAUGCUUUAUGACCAAAUACUGUCAUGCAGAAAGCUCCUUUCUGCUGUUUGACUUCCCAGUAUACAUUCAGCCACCGAGCCAGUUUUGAUAGGUGCAAAAACGUGCACCUUUUCCAUGGGUGAGGCAAGCAGCCACGCUCAUAGUAAUAGAGAAGAAGAACUGAAUUUUGCCUAGAUUUGACUCAUAAUUUUCACUACCAGUACCAUAGGAGCAGUCUUACAUCCCUCCAUAGUCUGAUGAUCAAGAUCCUCAAUCUCACUGAAGGGUCUCUGUGUGUAUGCCAUCAUCAGCCUAAUAGCUACUCGGUCACCAUGCAGUAUCCCUACAUUUGCAUAAAUGCUGAGACUGACAAUAAAGUUUCCAGUUAGUGCCAAAAUAAUCUGUGACUGAGAAACUGAGAUACUUGUUUGGGAUGUGACUGUUCCAAGAUCCUGCAGUGGUCCUUUAUCUAAACCAAAGCUGGAAUUCUGGAAUUCCCUCUCAGAGUCAAUCCUGUUCUUGCUUAACUGCUGACUUCUUUCUUCAUCUUCAAACUAUUGUUUUUUAUUCUAAUACAUACACAUAUAGCAUGCUUAUUUAUUCUUUAUAUUUUGAAUCCUGAUUUAGAGUUGUUGUUGUCUCAUGAAGAAAAUGCUGGUAAUUUUCCUCUUGUUAUUUGAAAGGCAAAGAAAUACAAGCCUCAAUUUUCUUCUGUAGUUGGCUGAAGUCUCACAAUCAAAUGUUGCUUCCUUCAGCUUUUGAAGUAAAAUUAAAAGAAGCUCUUGCCCUGCAGUUAUUGGCAGCUGCUGCAGUGGUUAAUUACCCAUGUUUCAGGCUCAGAUUUACUGUACAGCUUAAUCAGCAUUUCUCCAGGCUUGUGUAAUCUAGGAACGGUUUUCUGAAGCAUGGCAAGAGGUACAUACAUGCCAUAAAAAACCACUGUGUGGAUGAAUACACCAUUUAAAUGUCACUGUCAUCAUUCUAAAACUCUGAGUGGGAACAGAGAUUUCCAUUGUCUGAUGGGGCAAAGAUACAGAUUCUUUCAAACUUUUUGUUUUACUUCAGACUGGAACUGCACCGAGAGCUGUAUCAAGGACUUUGGUUCUACUCAAUCCAUAGGUCAAAAUAGAGCACUUACAAGAUACCUAUUGCAAAUUUAUUUUUAUCAUACCACUGAGUUCACGUGGCUUCCCACAUAAUUAAAACAAAUGUCUGAAUUCAAAGAUCAUCUCUUUCCCUAUUAUGCUGCAAUAUCCAAGACUUUUCAAUGUUGUGGAAAAAGAAAACAACUUUCCAUCACCUUCCUCCAGCCUGAAAUUUAGACCGACGCCAGCACAGAUCAAAGAGUAUCAUUUAAGACAAUUGUCCACAGUGUACGACAUCAUAUUUCAAGUCCUCAAGAACUCAGACCUUUGCCUUCCAUACUGUUGGUGAGUUCAUCAGCAUCAGAGUAUUAUGAAUAAGAUUCGUCACUAACUUUGACCAGUAGAAGACACACUGAAAUUGCUAUGAUUCUACAGAGGUUUUUUUAACAUCACUGAACAUAAAAAAGUCAUUACAUUGAGAAACUGAACCUGAAUUCUGCUUUGGACAGUGACUAGACUUGACAGUAAAGGGAAGAAGGAGUAUAAGUCACCUUAGAACUUAAAAAAGGUGCUUCAGUGACUUUUCACUAAAAGGUACUGCAGAAAAUUUCAGACAAGUCUGUUUCUCUUUCAUAUUAACAUUCUCUAAAUUACUAUUUUUUUUUACUAUUUUUGAACCAUCCAGAAGCUUCGUUGUGCAAGUCCAGCAUGAAAAAUGACUUAAAGAAUGUGCUUUCCAAACUCAGACAAAGCCUGAUUAGAUACAGGUUGCAAUCAAGGAAACAAAGCUGACAUUGUAAGGAUAAAUCUGUCAUUUCACAUAGGCAGGAAGAUACAGUUCUAUAGGUUUGUGAAUGGUUCAACUAAUGGUCUAAUGGUACUCAAGUCAAAUUAAUUACAUCAAUUUCUUUUACUGAACUUUCGUGCCAAACUUUUGAAGAAUAUUCUGUUUAAGACUCAGAUUGAUUCAAUAUUGUGAAAAAACAGCUGAAUUUCCUUGCAUACCUAUUUCCAUUUGCAGCUAAUUGUAGGUGUCAUUCUAUAUAUUCAUAUAGACUAUGCAGAAUAGUGAAAUGUCUUUUUUUUUCUCUUUUUUCUUUUUUUUUCUAUUUUGAUGUUAGCAGAAAAACAAAUGUGGCAGUUAUGAGGCACUGUCUUUGACAGAACAAAUGAUCUGUAAUUUUACUCAGAAAAAGGAAAAUUUAUGGAUGGAGGGAAAAUGGGGCAUUUCUCAAACAGAAAAAGAUCAAGGGAAGUUUUUUUUUUUUUAAUUCUGUUUACUGAAACUAAUUAGUAUUGCAGAACUUUUUAGUGACAUUAUUUCUUUUUUUUUUUUUUUUUUUUUUUUUUUUUUUAGUUAUGAACUGGAUAAUCAGCUAUUGAGUAUAAUUGUGCCUAUCCAAACUGCAUAGAUUUAAAUGACCUAGAGGCUUUUUAACCUUAUAUUUCUUCACUGGUCAAAUUUGUCUGCUACUAAUUUAGAAUUUAAGAUUGUUAAAUCUUAAUGCAAAAAUGCUGAUCAGCCUUGAGCUUUAAUUCUUGUAUACAAAACACAGACCUGCUAUGGAAUAUAGAGAAAUGUAUGUGGUAAGGAAGGACCUACUUUAUACUACAUUGCUAACUUGACAGAUAUUUGCUCUAUAUUUUACCCCCUCUUUAUAUCUGUGUAAAUGAUGAAGCUAGAUUAGAAUAUAAUCUAGGAUUCUCUAAGAUGCUUACAAAAUAUAGAUGAAUUAUUUAUUAUCAUAAAUGUAUUAUCAUAAUUCACUGGAAAGAGAAGUUUGUGGGUUUGUUUGUUUGCUGGUUGGUUGCUUGCUUGCUUCUCAUUUUGUUUUUAAAUGCAGAUGCCAGUGAAUAAAAUGAGGAAAUAAAACUAAGCACCUGAUACUCUUUCGUGCCAUAAAACGUAUUUUCUACACUUACCAUAUGGUCUACCUGCCACUGAUGUAUCUCUAUAAACAGCACAGGUGUAUCUGCAGUAAAACGGGGUUAGAAUGAGCAGAACUUAUCCUCUGCAUUUCUAAAAGGAAAAAUUGGAUUUAUUUUACCUGUAAAGCAGAAUUUUCCUGAUCUUUCAUCUUUUCAAGGUACUCCAAGUAAUUCAACCAGAUAUGCGUCAGAGCCUAAAACAUAGUCACAUCUGCUGCUCUGCAGCAGAGAGAUCAUUAAAUACAUUUACAUUUCUAAAAAAUAGAAUUAAUUCAAACUGAUUUCCCUGUAUUUCUGUCAGGAAAGAGAAUAUUUUCAUCUAAAAUCAAUGCUGAAAUUCCAAACUAGAUUUCUGGAUUUAUAAAUUACUUUACUGUGAUGGUAGCUAUGUACACAUGGAUAUUAAUUCACGUGAUGGUUCUGUGUGAUCAUGAAAGCAUUCUUGCUCACACUUCUCACUGUGAAAAAUAAAUGAAAAUAAAGAGAAUAAGAGGCUCUUACUCUAUUUAAAGAGUUGUAGAGCUACUAAAGUAGAGCAAUUACAGAAUAGCUAUCCUUGUAUGACACCAGAUGUAUGUCUUCUUUUGCCAUAUAUCAUAAGCUACCAUUGAAAACUUUUAUAAAAACAUGCUUCUUUCACACUGUAAAAAGAAACAAAACAAAAACCAAAACAAAAUAAAAAACAAAGCAAAACAAAACAAAAUGUAUUGUACCUCACAUACCAAUGAAUGAACAAGCACUAUUUGAAGACAGUAGCCAAGUGUGAUCUUGGAAUGAUGUUAACGUAGACCUCAGAUAUUUCUUCCAUUACAAUAAUUAAUGUGAAAUAAAUUUCCCUUCUUUUUGAAUGUACAAUAGACAACAAAUUAAAUUUGCAAAAAUUGCAGGUUUCUGAGUAUUCAUUAUUAUGAAAACACCUUUCACUAAAUGAUUUUAUUCUGGCAUGGAGAUAAGCUUUCCUUUUGGAUUACUAGCAAGCUUUCCAAAUUGCAACUUAUAGGAGAAAAAAAUAACAGGAAAGCAGGAAAACUUUCUAUAACUAGUUUUCAGCUGUGACUUUCAACUCUUGACCUAAAAUAUUACUGCUGGUUAUACAGUAGCAAAUGUUUUUGUCAUUAUUUUAUUAAAUUUCAUAGCAAAGGAAAAGAACAGUGCAUCAAUGCUUUAUGUUUUCUUUAGGGGAAAAGCAAGCCUGGGUCACAGAGGGCCAAUGGGAAUAUAUACUGUAUGCAUCAUAUUUAUUCUGUUUGCAAAUGCCAAGUGAUUGAACAUCUGCAAGCCUGUAUUUAAAGAAAAAACUUUCCCAGACAGUUUGA
Molecule: long non-coding RNA, 4418 nt
Organism: Phasianus colchicus (ring-necked pheasant)
Lineage: Eukaryota; Metazoa; Chordata; Aves; Galliformes; Phasianidae
Source: RefSeq, a predicted model, not a curated record